This is a long non-coding RNA of Sarcophilus harrisii (Tasmanian devil), 2431 nucleotides long. RefSeq lists it as uncharacterized. The transcript is spliced from 3 exons. NCBI's taxonomy places the organism in Eukaryota, Metazoa, Chordata, Mammalia, Dasyuromorphia, Dasyuridae. The record is from RefSeq and is a predicted model, not a curated record.
AAAUCAGAUCAAAAAAGGGAACAAAUGGGAAAGAAAAAAAAAGCAAUCAAACAAACAACAGAAAGAGUGAGAAUGCCGGGCUGGGAUCCCCCCUCGGUCCCCACGGGCCUCCCGGGGUCAGACGCUCUCCAUCACAAGAUCCCAGAACUGGCCUGAAUCACCAAAGAGCCCCCCGGCCUUCAGAAGGGACCCGCGUCUAAUCUUGUUGUUGCCGUGUACGUGCUCUCCUGGUUCUGCUCACUUCACUCAGGAUCACUUCAUGCCAGUCGAGAGAAUUUUUAUAGUUUUGUAGGGACAAUGUUUUGUUGCAAAUGUUCUCACUGUGCUGUUAAACGGCUUUGUUUUGAAUGAAUCCUGUCCUCCAGCAGGACAAAGGCCAUGGAAGGCAUGGGGCCCCGUUUCUAGGGGGGCCGGUCCCCUGUGUCCCGGCGCUGCCGAAGCUUUGAGCUCUCCGGGCCAGUUUGGCCCUGGCGGCCUCCCCCAUAAUGUUCUUUGGAUUUGGCCCCAGGCCCCCACCUGAAGGUGAUCCUGGGAGAUGCGGCCUAGGUGUCUGCCGCAGGCUUCUUUCAGCUCUGAGAUCCCCAACUCCUGGCUUGGUCCCACACACUAUCCUGGUCUCCCCCUGAGCUGCCCUGACCCUCUAGCAGGGCUUCCUCCCUGGCCCAUCGCCGCAGCCUGGGGACGUCAGCGCUUCCUCCACCUCUGCAGCCUCUGCAUGAUGCUCCAGGAGAAAUGGGCAAAAUCGGGCGCAUCCCCUCUGGCUCCUUGCUCUCUGGGGGCCCGGAGGCCACUGAAUUGGCCACUGAUUGAGCCCUCAGGCCGGCCUCCUGUGGAGAACUGACUCUGGACGGGGGAGCCCUGUUCUGGAGCCACUUAUCCCAGUAAGGAAGAGCCCUGGGCUGGGAGGGGCAGGACCGGGCUGGCUAUCUGCCUCUCGGAGCCUGGAGAGAGGACUGAGGGGAGAGGUGCUGGGUGAGAUCAUGAGGAAGCCGGAAAUUCCUCCUGGGCAGCUGAGAGGGGGAGAUGGGAGCAGGAGAUAGCGGUCUAGACAGUGUCUGACUCAGCCCCCUCGGCCUCCCAGCCCGGAAGGUCUCCGCGCUGCCUGAGGGAGGUGGUGACCUGGACAAGCCCCCACACUGCGGGCUCCCGAGCUGGGCGUUCUGGCAGAGAGCGGGGGGACAGACGCCCCUCGGUGCCGUUGGGAACUUGCUCCCGGUCUUCUCACAGGCCCCAGGCUGCUGACAAAACCAGGACCACCGGGUCUGGGGCCUGCCUCCUGUCGUGUGCCCCUAGGCAAGGCCUGGAGGAGGCUGGAGGACGACCGAAAGCAGCCAAGGCAGCUCAGGGGAGAAAGGCCCCCAGUGGCUUAACACCCAAGAACUCAAAGGCAAAGGUGCGCAAAUUAAGUGAGAAGGAGCAAAACUUUACUAGUUGAAGGCCUAACGAUCCCCUUUCAGACCUAAACAAAUAAGUCACAGAAAGGGGUUAAAGACCACAGGAAAGUCCGAUGUGAUGGGUCUGGCAGUUAACAAGUCGGUACAGAAAGAAAUCUAGAACUCCGGGACUGAAGGAAACCUCCCAGCCAUGUCCAUCUGUCCCCAGAGCCCCGCUGAGAGAGCCUCCACCCAGAGAGAUGGGGGCUGUCCUGUAGCCGUCCACUUAAGUGUCCCUGAAGGCCUGGCCCGGGCACUGCCAGCCCCUGGGCACCGGCUCUCACUCUGCCCAGGAGAUUCAACAGCAGAUAGAUCAGCAACGCAAAAUGCUUCCUGGAGAGACGGGGAGCACAGAGUGUGGGAAUCCAACAAGGCAGCCUGGAGGGCAGCAGGGAUUCUAAGAAAGGGGAGGGAGGGAAGGAGGCGCAGCCAGAGACAGAGGAAGCCCAUGGGGCCCGGGCAACAUCCAAGGCAUCAGUUUGUCUGGGUGGGAAAGGCAAAGGGCAGCCGGGUCACAGAGAAUGCGGGGAGUGUGGGGGAACACGGCCGGACCUGGCUCUGGGGCAGGAUGGGUUGUCUGGGGUGGGGGGCCUGGCCACGGGGGCCAGAGUCAUCCCUCAUCCUGCAGAUCUCGCUCAGGCGGCUCCAUCACUUCCCAGCAGGGGGCGGCUAUGACUUCUAGGCUCCAUGUUGCAGAAGGGAGUUCCCUAAUUUCCAGGAGACACACCUUCCUCUCCGCUUCCAGCCCAAGCUCGGUCUCCCCCAGAGCACUCUACAACCUGACCUCACCCAUCUUCAUCUAGGAUCAGAGUCUGCUGUUCCUUUCCAUGGAUGGAGUUUCUUACCCCAGUGUUAAAGUUAUACGAUGACCAAUUCUGACAGACUGGCUCCUUCAACAACGAGAUGACUCAGAGCAGUUCCGAUGGUCUUGUGAUGAAGAGAGGCAUCUGUACCUAGAGAGAGGACAGUGGGAACCCAGUGUGGUUCACAACAUAGUA